GAUGAACGCUGGCGGCGUGCUUAACACAUGCAAGUCGAACGAAGCACUUUAUUUGAUUUCCUUCGGGACUGAUUAUUUUGUGACUGAGUGGCGGACGGGUGAGUAACGCGUGGGUAACCUGCCUUGUACAGGGGGAUAACAGUUGGAAACGGCUGCUAAUACCGCAUAAGCGCACAGCAUCGCAUGAUGCAGUGUGAAAAACUCCGGUGGUAUAAGAUGGACCCGCGUUGGAUUAGCUAGUUGGUGAGGUAACGGCCCACCAAGGCGACGAUCCAUAGCCGACCUGAGAGGGUGACCGGCCACAUUGGGACUGAGACACGGCCCAAACUCCUACGGGAGGCAGCAGUGGGGAAUAUUGCACAAUGGGCGAAAGCUUGAUGCAGCGACGCCGCGUGAGCGAAGAAGUAUUUCGGUAUGUAAAGCUCUAUCAGCAGGGAAGAUAAUGACGGUACCUGACUAAGAAGCACCGGCUAAAUACGUGCCAGCAGCCGCGGUAAUACGUAUGGUGCAAGCGUUAUCCGGAUUUACUGGGUGUAAAGGGAGCGCAGGCGGUGCGGCAAGUCUGAUGUGAAAGCCCGGGGCUCAACCCCGGUACUGCAUUGGAAACUGUCGUACUAGAGUGUCGGAGGGGUAAGCGGAAUUCCUAGUGUAGCGGUGAAAUGCGUAGAUAUUAGGAGGAACACCAGUGGCGAAGGCGGCUUACUGGACGAUAACUGACGCUGAGGCUCGAAAGCGUGGGGAGCAAA
This 746-nucleotide ribosomal RNA is filed under the name uncultured bacterium. RNAcentral's name for it is "bacterial SSU rRNA". It matches the Rfam family "Bacterial small subunit ribosomal RNA", at positions 28 to 772 of the family's 1533-position model. The record is from RNAcentral.